UUACUGUUCUUGACCGGUUGAACUAUCUCCGGCUUGAUUCUAACUGGUUUAACGGUUCGAUUCCGCCGUUGAACCAGACCCAACUCCAAAUUUUCAAUGUAUCUAAUAAUAACCUCACUGGUCCAGUACCUGUUACUCCAACUCUGAAGAAAUUUAACGUACGGUCUUUCUUACGGAACCCUAAUCUUUGUGGCGAGGUUGUUGAUAAGCCGUGUCGUUCGGCUCCAUUCUUUGAUUCACCUUCCUCUGCUGCCUCUCCGCCCACACCGUUAUACCAAAACGCACAGUCGCAGGGUAUUCUUAUUACUCCUCCACCUCAG
This 320-nucleotide unclassified non-coding RNA is filed under the name Hevea brasiliensis (rubber tree). Lineage: Eukaryota; Viridiplantae; Streptophyta; Magnoliopsida; Malpighiales; Euphorbiaceae. The record is from RNAcentral.